RNAcentral lists this long non-coding RNA (414 nucleotides) under Malus domestica (apple). RNAcentral's name for it is "long non-coding RNA (MDOM_LNC009230)". The record is from RNAcentral. Lineage: Eukaryota; Viridiplantae; Streptophyta; Magnoliopsida; Rosales; Rosaceae.
GGUGAAGAGACUUGGAGGUUCUCAAUUUUGGGAACUUGGAGAAACCUAUUCUUCCAUCCAAAUCCAUAGAUUUAAGAUGCAAGGAAUGAAGGCCCUCUCUUUGGGUGAUUAGCCUUUGCUUAUGCAAAGAGGAAGUUACAAAGGUAUAAAUUUCAACUUACUAUGUUUUGAGUUGAGUUUUGGUUCACCAAUCUACUAGGCUUUGAAUUUCAUGGUUAAUGUUUUGUUUUUAAGUGCAUGCAAGCAUGAUUCCGUCUUUAAUUGUUAAUUGCAUGCUUAAUGAUGUUGCUUAAAUGAACAUGUUUUCACAAAAUAUUCCUUCAAUUGGCACUCCAAAAUUCUCAUUCUACACUCCAAACUUUCUAUAUUUAGAAAGAAAAAUACACUUAUGAGGAGUGUAGAAUGAGAUUUUUG